GUGCUUGCUUCAGCAGCAUAUAUACUAAAAUUGAAAUGAUACAGAGAUUAGCAAGGCCCUUGUACAAGAAUGACAUGUAAAUUCAUGAAACGUUCCAUAUUUUA
Molecule: non-coding RNA, 104 nt
Organism: Canis lupus familiaris (dog)
Lineage: Eukaryota; Metazoa; Chordata; Mammalia; Carnivora; Canidae
Source: Rfam